CCGGAUCCCCGAGCAGCAGCCCCUUCCUGAACACAAAGGACCUCUCUGCUGUCCAGCAAGUCCUGCUGUAUCUCCCAAGCAUGCGCAACAGGAAAUGUUUAGUUUCUCCCUGACUGUGAGUCCUGCUGGCCCAGGAGACUUCAGGCCCACCACCAGAGGCAAGGCAGUCAUCCUCCAU
Pipistrellus kuhlii (Kuhl's pipistrelle) is the source of this 178-nucleotide long non-coding RNA. RefSeq lists it as uncharacterized. The record is from RefSeq and is a predicted model, not a curated record. The transcript has 3 exons. Lineage: Eukaryota; Metazoa; Chordata; Mammalia; Chiroptera; Vespertilionidae.